GUUUGUUGUAGGUAUGUUGCUUGAUACCCAGUUAUUUUAAAAAUGUUGGUAGAAUUUGGGAUUAUGUUUUCCAUAAUGGAAUUGAUUACAAUGAUGAUUUGUGAUGUAGAGGAAAUAUUUGCAGUUUACAGUUUUUACUGUCGGGAUUCCAGGAGAAACCAACAUAAGGGUAGGAAGGAUCUUCAAUACCAUCUGACAACCUGGG
Molecule: non-coding RNA, 205 nt
Organism: Pelobates cultripes (western spadefoot toad)
Lineage: Eukaryota; Metazoa; Chordata; Amphibia; Anura; Pelobatidae
Source: the annotation of a GenBank genome assembly